GUCUACAGCCAUGCCACCCUGAACAUGCCUGAUCCUGUCUGAUUUCAGAAGCUAAGCAGGGUCGGGCCUGGUUAGUACUUGGCUGGGAGACCACCUAGGAAGACCAGGUGCUGUAGGCU
This is a non-coding RNA of Pteropus alecto (black flying fox), 119 nucleotides long. The record is from Rfam. NCBI's taxonomy places the organism in Eukaryota, Metazoa, Chordata, Mammalia, Chiroptera, Pteropodidae.